Molecule: small nuclear RNA, 106 nt
Organism: Pteronotus mesoamericanus
Lineage: Eukaryota; Metazoa; Chordata; Mammalia; Chiroptera; Mormoopidae
Source: RefSeq, a predicted model, not a curated record
GUGCUCAUUUCAGCAACACGUAUACUAAAAUUGGAAUGAUACAGGGAAAAUUAACAUGGCCCCAGCAAGGAUGACACACUAACUUGGCUCUAAUUGAUAAACUCCU